Molecule: ribosomal RNA, 319 nt
Filed under: uncultured archaeon
Lineage: Archaea
Description: bacterial SSU rRNA
Rfam family: Archaeal small subunit ribosomal RNA
Source: RNAcentral
UCCGGGAAAUCUGACAGCUCAACUGUUAGGCUACCGGGGGAUACUGUUAGACUUGGGACCGGGAGAGGUAAGAGGUACUACAGGGGUAGGAGUGAAAUCUUGUAAUCCCUGUGGGACCACCAGUGGCGAAGGCGUCUUACCAGAACGGGUCCGACGGUGAGGGACGAAAGCUGGGGGCACGAACCGGAUUAGAUACCCGGGUAGUCCCAGCCGUAAACGAUGCUCGCUAGGUGUCUGGNAUGGUGCGACCGUUUCAGGUGCCGCAGGGAAGCCGUGAAGCGAGCCACCUGGGAAGUACGGCCGCAAGGCUGAAACUUAA